RNAcentral lists this ribosomal RNA (254 nucleotides) under uncultured bacterium. RNAcentral's name for it is "partial 16S ribosomal RNA". It matches the Rfam family "Bacterial small subunit ribosomal RNA", at positions 524 to 776 of the family's 1533-position model. The record is from RNAcentral.
UACGUAGGGGGCGAGCGUUGUCCGAAGUUACUGGGCGUAAAGCGCGCGUAGGCGGUCCAUUAAGUCUGGUGUGAAAGGUUGAGGGCUCAACCCCAACAGUGCACUGGAUACUGGCGGACUUGAGUGCGGGAGAGGAGAGUGGAAUUCCUGGUGUAGCGGUGUAAUGCGUAGAUAUCGUAAGGAAGACCAGUGGCGAAGGCGAAUCUCUGGACAGUUACUGACACUGAGGCACGAAGGCCAGGGGAGCAAACGGG